GGGGGGGGGGGGGGGGGGGGCGGGGGGGGGGGGGGCGGGGGGGGGCGUCGGGGCUGGCGGCGGGGGGGUGAGUAGCGCGGGGGGAUGUGCCGCUUGGUACGGGAUAGCCUCGGGAAACUGGGAGUGAUACCGUAUGUGCCCUUUGGGGGCAAGAUUUAUCGCCAAGAGAUUAGCCCGCGUUGGGUUAGGUAGUUGGUGGGGUAAUGGCCUACCAAGCCGGCGAUCCAUAGCUGGUGUGAGAGGAUGAUCAGCCACACUGGGACUGAGACACGGCCCAGACUCCUACGGGAGGCAGCAGUGGGGAAUCUUAGACAAUGGGGGCAACCCUGAUCUAGCCAUGCCGCGUGAGUGAUGAAGGCCUUAGGGUUGUAAAGCUCUUUCAGCUGGGAAGAUAAUGACGGUACCAGCAGAAGAAGCCCCGGCUAACUCCGUG
Molecule: ribosomal RNA, 433 nt
Filed under: uncultured bacterium
Lineage: Bacteria
Description: partial 16S ribosomal RNA
Rfam family: Bacterial small subunit ribosomal RNA (bases 45-433)
Source: RNAcentral